RNAcentral lists this ribosomal RNA (301 nucleotides) under uncultured bacterium. RNAcentral describes it as "partial 16S ribosomal RNA". It matches the Rfam family "Bacterial small subunit ribosomal RNA", at positions 509 to 807 of the family's 1533-position model. The record is from RNAcentral.
CAGUAGCCGCGGUAAUACGUAGGUGGCGAGCGUUGUCCGGAAUUAUUGGGCGUAGAGAGCUCGCAGGCGGUUUCUUAAGUCUGAUGUGAAAGCCCCCGGCUCAACCGGGGAGGGUCAUUGGAAACUGGGAAACUUGAGUGCAGAAGAGGAGAGUGGAAUUCCACGUGUAGCGGUGAAGUGCGUAGAGAUGUGGAGGAACACCAGUGGCGAAGGCGACUCUCUGGUCUGUAACUGACGCUGAGGAGCGAAAGCGUGGGGAGCGAACAGGAUUAGAGACCCCAGUAGUCCCUGUCUCUUAUAC